Molecule: ribosomal RNA, 442 nt
Filed under: uncultured Hyphomonadaceae bacterium
Lineage: Bacteria; Pseudomonadati; Pseudomonadota; Alphaproteobacteria; Hyphomonadales; Hyphomonadaceae
Description: bacterial SSU rRNA
Rfam family: Bacterial small subunit ribosomal RNA
Source: RNAcentral
UGCCUACGGGCGGCUGCAGUGGGGAAUCUUGGACAAUGGGCGAAAGCCUGAUCCAGCCAUGCCGCGUGGAUGAUGAAGGCCCUAGGGUUGUAAAAUCCUUUCGUUGGGGACGAUAAUGACGGUACCCAAAGAAGAAGCUCCGGCUAACUUCGUGCCAGCAGCCGCGGUAAUACGAAGGGGGCUAGCGUUGUUCGGAUUUACUGGGCGUAAAGCGCGUGUAGGCGGGUCGUUAAGUUGGGGGUGAAAUCCCGAGGCUCAACCUCGGAACUGCCUUCAAAACUGGCGACCUGGACUCAAGCAGAGGCAAGUGGAAUUGCGAGUGUAGAGGUGAAAUUCGUAGAUAUUCGCAGGAACACCAGUGGCGAAGGCGACUUGCUGGGCUUGUGGUGACGCUGAGACGCGAAAGCGUGGGGAGCAAACAGGAUUAGAUACCCGUGUAGUC